Molecule: ribosomal RNA, 497 nt
Filed under: uncultured bacterium
Lineage: Bacteria
Description: partial 16S ribosomal RNA
Rfam family: Bacterial small subunit ribosomal RNA
Source: RNAcentral
GAUGAACGCUGGCGGCGUGCCUAAUACAUGCAAGUCGAGCGAACGGACGAGAAGCUUGCUUCUCUGAUGUUAGCGGCGGACGGGUGAGUAACACGUGGAUAACCUACCUAUAAGACUGGGAUAACUUCGGGAAACCGGAGCUAAUACCGGAUGAUAUUUUGAACCGCAUGGUUCAAAAGUGAAAGACGGUCUUGCUGUCACUUAUAGAUGGAUCCGCGCUGCAUUAGCUAGUUGGUAAGGUAACGGCUUACCAAGGCAACGAUGCAUAGCCGACCUGAGAGGGUGAUCGGCCACACUGGAACUGAGACACGGUCCAGACUCCUAUGGGAGGCAGCAGUAGGGAAUCUUCCGCAAUGGGCGAAAGCCUGACGGAGCAACGCCGCGUGAGUGAUGAAGGUCUUCGGAUCGUAAAACUCUGUUAUUAGGGAAGAACAUAUGUGUAAGUAACUGUGCACAUCUUGACGGUACCUAAUCAGAAAGCCACGGCUAACUACGCG